RNAcentral lists this non-coding RNA (30 nucleotides) under Mus musculus (house mouse). Lineage: Eukaryota; Metazoa; Chordata; Mammalia; Rodentia; Muridae. The record is from RNAcentral.
CUCAAAAGCACACGUCUGGCUUGGCACGAC